RNAcentral lists this long non-coding RNA (469 nucleotides) under Anser brachyrhynchus (Pink-footed goose). RNAcentral's name for it is "lncRNA (ENSABRG00000001081.1)". Lineage: Eukaryota; Metazoa; Chordata; Aves; Anseriformes; Anatidae. The record is from RNAcentral.
AUGUGUCCAUCUCUGAACAUGUGCAGAAGAAGAAAAUUGAAGCAGUUUUCCAAUCUAGUUGCUGGACUGCUGGUGAGGGAAAAGCUGGUAAAACAGAUGAAAGCAUCGUGUGGACUGGACUUGAUCUGUGGACUACCUGUAGAACCCGCAGAACUCAUCAGCAUCCCCUCUACUGCUUAUAUUCUACUUGAUGUAAAGGUGUCAAACCGCUGCAGCUUAAGUGACCAGUCACAAGCCACAAAUGAUGGUUCAGCUGAGCAGAGCAUAGGUAAGUCUUGAAUUGUGUAUCAUUAUAAGUUUUGAAUUGCAUAUCAUUCUGAGUGGUGAAAACACACAUAAACUGUAGCAAGAGGUGGAAAAUAGUUCAUAAGUAAGAGAAUUGAUCAACAAUGGCUAUCAAAAACCAGUAACCAGUCUGUUAAAUAUAACUUACACCUUUAAUAAAAAUAAAUUUGCUGUUACUAGUACA